AAUCUUUGUUUAAAGUCAUUUAAGUCAUCGGCGAGUGUGGCAAUAUUCACCUGGGUGCGAUGUUUGCUUCCUUGCUUCCCUGUCCGGUAUAGAGUUCAGGCAACUCAUGUUAAGAUUAAGUGUAAACAGCUUUUCUAACCGUAUUUCAGAACUGAAGGAACAAUAACAACCAGAGAAGACUUUACCAGCAAAAGGACAUAGGCUACACUGAUGGUGGAAGCCAUUUGUAAGCCUCCAAAAACAGCGCUGACAGGUUAUAGUUUGCUAAGUACACAAAAGCAGCGGUAAAAUCAUACAGUGCCAGUGGAAGCAAAACCUAGGGAAAAAGCAAGCAAGUCUCUGUGCAAACACAAGUUUUAUCCGAGAUCCGAUAUGAUAAGACAUUAUGUGGUUGGGUAUGAUGCUGAUCGCGUGACAUUACUUUCAUGAAAAACACUGGUAACCUUCCAUUGAAUGCGCAUUAACAACAGAGUUUACAUGUUAAGUGUGCCCUGAGGCUCAGAGUCUACAAGGCUCACACACUGCAGGCAGAGGAGCGCCCUGCAAGAAACCAAGAACUCGCGCCUGCCAGUACCUGCGCAGUAGGGAUGCGCUUGUUGACUCAUUUAACCUGCAGUUACAACGGCAGUGCAGGCAGGUUUAAGGUCAUGAAAUGGCCCGCUAUUUGGAUUAAGGGCAGGCGGGUUUAAGGUCAUGAAAUGGCCCGCUAUUUGGAUUAAGGGCAGGCGGGUUUAAGGUCAUGAAAUGGCCUGCUAUUUGGAUUAAGGGCAGGCGGGUUUAAGGUCAUGAAAUGGCCCGCUAUUUGGAUUAAGGGCAGGCGGGUUUAAGGUCAUGAAAUGGCCUGCUAUUUGGAUUAAGGGCAGGUGGGUUGCAGGA
This is a long non-coding RNA of Esox lucius (northern pike), 876 nucleotides long. NCBI's taxonomy places the organism in Eukaryota, Metazoa, Chordata, Actinopteri, Esociformes, Esocidae. The record is from Ensembl.